UGCUAAUCAGGAGAUGCAAAUGAUCAUAAAUGACUAGCUUCUUGUACUUUACUUUAAUAUUGUGCUAAUGUUAUUUUUUUCUGACUGGAUUUUUUGACAUGUAACUUUACCCUGGUAUAGUUUUCACUCAUUUACUUGAUUUUACUUUUACCAGGGAGAUCUUCUGAGGUUAGAGGAAUUGGUAAAUGUAGCACCGAUGCUUCCAUGGAGGCACCCAUCACUCCAUCCGUCAAAGUAGAUUAUACUCAGCUUCUAAUUAAUGGACAAUUUGUAGAUUCUACAUCAACAUUGGAGUAAUCAGCAUGUUUUCAAGCAUUCAUAUCAUUUUCGGGUUCCUUCGCGUGACGCUUUGAUCAGGGAAAACUUUUCUCACAUUGGACACCCAGACUGGGGACGUGAUUGCUCACGCUGCUGAAGGCGAUGCUGAAGAUGUAAACCGCGCAGUUUCUGCUGCCCGCAAGGCCUUGGUGAAGGACCGUGGCCAAAGAUGACAGCUUACUGUAACUUUUACUUGUUCUAUGACAGUAUAUGGUUACGAGAGUAAUAGUAAUUGGGCUACUAGUGUUCUAGUUUUCACCAAUUUUUCAUAUGAAUGCAUUUUUUCUGCUAAAAAGUAUCGUUGAUCCCUCCACAGGUUGCGUUUACUGGAUCAACUGACACUGGUAAAAAAAAUACUUGAAUUGGCUGCCAAAAGCAAUCUUAAGACAGUAACUGGAGCUUGGCGGGAGAUCCCAUAUUAUUGGUCAAUGCUGCUGCGAUGGUUCUCGUACUUUUGUAGAUGAAAAAGUAUAUGACGAGUUCAUAGAGAAAGCAAAGGCUCAUGCUGAGAGACGCGUUGUUGGAGACCCGUCCAAGGGGGGCGUUGAGCAAGGUCCUCAGACCAAUUCGAGAAGAUCCCAAAGUACAUAGAUUAUGGUGUUAAAGGUGGAGCUAAAAUGGAACCGGAGGAGAGAGGCUUGGCACAAAGGGUAACUAUAUUAAGCCCACUGUAUUAUCAGAUGUUCAGGUACUAAUCAACAUAAAAACCAUAAUAUUUACCAAGAAGCCGGAACAUGAUUACGAUUGAUCUAAACAUUAUUGUCUCGUGGGGUUGGAUGACAUGCCAAUAGCUCGUGAGUAGAUAUUUGGUUUGGUGCAUACCAUCUUGAAGUACAAGGAUCUUAAUGAGGUGAUACGAAAGGGAAAAUAACUCUCACUAUGGAAAAUAACUCUCGUUAUGGACUUGCUGCAGGGAUCUUUACACAAAACAUAGACACUGAAACAUACUGACUCGCGCAGUGCGUUGGCAGUGUAUUUAUAAACUGCUUCUAUGUCGUUGAUGCUCUAUUCAUUUCGGAGGGUACAAGAUGAGUGGAAUCGGAAGAGAAAAGGGCAUUUACGGUCUUUCCAAUUACUUGCAAGUCAAGGCUGUUGUCACCCCCUGACGAAUCCUGCAUGGCUAUGAACUUCACAAGCUUUUUUUGUCACUGCCAAAAAUAAAUUGAGAGUACUGCAUCAGAAUAUGUGGCUGUGAUCUCAUGAUGGCAUUGGGGUGGUGACAAAAAAUAUUUGCUUCUUUGUGAAGAACUAUUAAUGUUUCUGUUGAAUUAACUGUUGGUUAAGUUAAUCAGUAGGUUUGUGGUUGGUCUAAUAUGACAAUCAACUUUCUAUGGUUUGUUGAGGCAUCACUUUCUCCUUUUCCAAUCACAUUU
Pyrus x bretschneideri (Chinese white pear) is the source of this 1691-nucleotide long non-coding RNA. RefSeq lists it as uncharacterized. The transcript has 4 exons. The record is from RefSeq and is a predicted model, not a curated record. NCBI's taxonomy places the organism in Eukaryota, Viridiplantae, Streptophyta, Magnoliopsida, Rosales, Rosaceae.